Long non-coding RNA from Bombus pascuorum, 340 nucleotides. RefSeq lists it as uncharacterized. The transcript is spliced from 2 exons. NCBI's taxonomy places the organism in Eukaryota, Metazoa, Arthropoda, Insecta, Hymenoptera, Apidae. The record is from RefSeq and is a predicted model, not a curated record.
AGCACCUGUUUCUUAAGCCAACUACUAUAUCCGUCCUGGUCCGUCCGCUCAUUGCUCAUUCCCGCGACUGCACCGCCAGUCGUCACAUCAUAUCAUAGUUAAAAAAUCAGUAUUUAAUAUUAAUAAAAUAUUUAAAUAUUUUAAAACAAUAUAUAACUUGACAUAAUUAGUCAUUAUAAAGGAAAAUGUUCUUAGGCGUACACAAACAUCUGCAGAAAGAAUACAAUAUCUAUAUACCAAAGCAAAACGAAACUGUCAUAUGUUAAGAAUGCGUUUGAGAGCACUACGAGAAAGACAUUUACAGAAAAAAGAAAAAAUAAAAAUAUUACAAAUUUAUUUA